This 144-nucleotide ribosomal RNA is filed under the name Bombus terrestris (buff-tailed bumblebee). RNAcentral's name for it is "partial 28S ribosomal RNA". The record is from RNAcentral. Lineage: Eukaryota; Metazoa; Arthropoda; Insecta; Hymenoptera; Apidae.
ACAGCCGUUGCACACGAGUCAGUCGAUCCUAAGCCCUAAGAGAAAUCCUAUGCAGAUGAGGUGUCCUAAGAUCAUACAAAUUGCAACAAACAAAUAAAAAUUGAGCGAAAGAAACACACCCAUUGGGCGAAAGGGAAUCCGGUU